Molecule: ribosomal RNA, 457 nt
Filed under: uncultured bacterium
Lineage: Bacteria
Description: bacterial SSU rRNA
Rfam family: Bacterial small subunit ribosomal RNA
Source: RNAcentral
AGGAGGCAGCAGUGAGGAAUUUUGCACAAUGGGCGCAAGCCUGAUGCAGCAACGCCGCGUGUGUGAUGAAGGUCUUCGGAUCGUAAAGCACUUUCGACCGGGACGAACAAGCCUGGCCACACCAGGCCCUGACGGUACCGGGAGAAGAAGCACCGGCUAACUCUGUGCCAGCAGCCGCGGUAAUACAGAGGGUGCAAGCGUUGUUCGGAAUUAUUGGGCGUAAAGCGCGUGUAGGCGGCUUAGCAAGUCGGGCGUGAAAGCCCUCGGCUCAACCGAGGAAGUGCACCCGAAACUGCUGAGCUUGAGUGCCGGAGAGGAUGGCGGAAUUCCCCAAGUAGAGGUGAAAUUCGUAGAUAUGGGGAGGAACACCGGUGGCGAAGGCGGCCAUCUGGACGGUAACUGACGCUGAGACGCGAAAGCGUGGGGAGCAAACAGGAUUAGAUACCCGUGUAGUCCU